UGGGGAAUUUUGGACAAUGGGCGCAAGCCUGAUCCAGCCAUGCCGCGUGCGGGAAGAAGGCCUUCGGGUUGUAAACCGCUUUUGUCAGGGAAGAAAUCUUCUGGGUUAAUACCUCGGGAGGAUGACGGUACCUGAAGAAUAAGCACCGGCUAACUACGUGCCAGCAGCCGCGGUAAUACGUAGGGUGCAAGCGUUAAUCGGAAUUACUGGGCGUAAAGCGUGCGCAGGCGGUUAUGCAAGACAGAUGUGAAAUCCCCGGGCUCAACCUGGGAACUGCAUUUGUGACUGCAUAGCUAGAGUACGGUAGAGGGGGAUGGAAUUCCGCGUGUAGCAGUGAAAUGCGUAGAUAUGCGGAGGAACACCGAUGGCGAAGGCAAUCCCCUGGACCUGUACUGACGCUCAUGCACGAAAGCGUGGGGAGCAAACAGGAUUAGAUACCCUGGUAGUCCACGCCCUAAACGAUGUCAACUGGUUGUUGGGUCUUCACUGACUCAGUAACGAAACUAACGCGUGAAGUUGACCGCCUGGGGAGUACGGCUGCAAGGUUG
RNAcentral lists this ribosomal RNA (548 nucleotides) under uncultured bacterium. Its description in RNAcentral is "bacterial SSU rRNA". It matches the Rfam family "Bacterial small subunit ribosomal RNA", at positions 355 to 896 of the family's 1533-position model. The record is from RNAcentral.